CAGUCGCCACGGGAAUACGUAGGUGGCGAGCGUUGUCCGGAAUUAUUGGGCGUAAAGGGAGCGCAGGCGGACAUAUAAGUCCAUCUUAAAAGUGCGGGGCUCAACCCCGUGAGGGGAUGGAAACUGUAUGCCUUGAGUGCAGGAGAGGAAAGCGGAGUUCCCAGUGUAGCGGUGAAAUGCGUUGAGAUCGGAAAGAACACCAACGGCGAAAGCACUCUGCUGGGCCGACAUUGACACUGAGAGACGACAGCUAGGUGAGCAAAUGGGAUUAGAGACCCCAGUAGUCCCUGUCUCUUAUACA
Molecule: ribosomal RNA, 301 nt
Filed under: uncultured bacterium
Lineage: Bacteria
Description: partial 16S ribosomal RNA
Rfam family: Bacterial small subunit ribosomal RNA
Source: RNAcentral